UCCCUACGGGGUGCACCAGGCGCGAAACCUCCGCAAUGCACGCAAGUGCGACGGGGGGACCCCAAGUGCCACUCUUAACGGGGUGGCUUUUUUGGAGUGUAAAAAGCUCUAAGAUACGUAUUGGA
Molecule: ribosomal RNA, 125 nt
Filed under: uncultured archaeon
Lineage: Archaea
Description: partial 16S ribosomal RNA
Rfam family: Archaeal small subunit ribosomal RNA
Source: RNAcentral